RNAcentral lists this ribosomal RNA (253 nucleotides) under uncultured bacterium. Its description in RNAcentral is "partial 16S ribosomal RNA". It matches the Rfam family "Bacterial small subunit ribosomal RNA", at positions 524 to 776 of the family's 1533-position model. The record is from RNAcentral.
UACAGAGGUCUCAAGCGUUGUUCGGAUUCAUUGGGCGUAAAGGGUGUGUAGGUGGCGCCGUUAGUCGGGUGUGAAAUUUCGGAGCUUAACUCCGAAACUGCAUUCGAUACUGCGGUGCUUGAGGACUGGAGAGGAGACUGGAAUUCAUGGUGUAGCAGUGAAAUGCGUAGAGAUCAUGAGGAAGACCAGUGGCGCAGGCGGGUCUCUGGGCCGAUACUGACGCUGAGGAGCGAAAGCAUGGGUAGCGAACAGG